GGUUCGAUUAUAUUCAGAUUGAACGCUGGCGGGAUGCUUUACACAUGCAAGUCGAACGGCAGCACGGACUUCGGUCUGGUGGCGAGGCGAACGGGUGAGUAAUGAAAUCGCCUAGUAGCGGGGGAUAACUACGCGAAAGCGUAGCCAUUACCGCAUACCGCCUUCGGGAAAGCGGGGGACCUUCGGGCCUCGCACUAUUAGAGCGGCCGAUAUCGGAUUAGCUAGUUGGUGGGGUAACGGCUCGUCAAGGCGACGAUCCGUAGCUAUUGGUUUGAGAGGACGACCAGCCACACUGGGACUGAGACACGGCCCAGACUACGGGAGUGGCGGUGGGGAAUUUUGGACAAUGGGGAAACCCUGAUCCAGCCAUCCCGCGUGUGCGAUGAAGGCCUUCAAGCUGUAAAGCACUUUUUGGUGUGAAGAAACGGCACGGGAUAAUACCCCGUGCAACUGACGGUACCUGCAGAAUAAGCACCACAACUACGUGCCAGCAGCCGCAGUAAUAGCGAAGUGCUGCUAAUCGGAAUUACUGGGCGUAAAGCGCGGCGCGUCUGGAAAGAAAGAUGUGAAAUCCCGCAGGUUUCUAACUUUGGAACUGCAUUUUUAACUACCGAGCUAGAGUGUGUCAGAGGAAAAUUCCGGCGUGUAGCAGUGAAAUGCGUAGAUAAGGUGAGGAACACCGAUGGCGAAGCAGCCUCCUAGAGCAACACUGACGCUCAUGCACGAAAGCGUGGGAGCAAACAGGAUUAGAUACCCUGGUAGUCCACGCCCUAAACGAUGUCAACUAGCUGUUGGGGGCCUGGCCAGGCGCAGUUAACGCGUGAAGUUGACCGCCUGGGGGAGCAUGGUCGCAAGAUUAAAACUCAAAGGAAUUGACACCCGCACAAGCGGUGAUGAUGUGGAUUAAUUCGAUGCAACGCGGCAAAACCCAUCACCCUUGACAUGUCUGAAUCCCGAAGACUGGGAGUGCUCGCAAGAGAACCGGAAACACAAAGCGUAUGGCUGUCGUCAGCUCGUGUCAAAGAGAUGUUGGGUUGGUCCCUUGGCAACGAGCAACCCUUUGUCAUUGGUUGCUACGAAAGGGCACUCUAAUGAGAUCGCCGGUGACAAACUGAGGAAGGUGGGGAUGGUACGUCAAGUCCUCGCGCGGUUCUGCGGUGGGCUUCACAUCAUACAAUGGUCGGGACAGGGUCGCCAACCCGCGAGGGAGCCAAUCCCAGAACCCGAUCGUAGUCCGGAUCGCAGUCUGCAACUCGACUGCGUGAAGCUGGAAUGUCCGCUAGUAAUCAAGAUCAGCAUGUCGCGGUGAAUACGUUCCCGGUCUGCACACACCGCCCGUCACACCAUGGAGUGGGUUUUACUGCGCGAAGUUAGCCUAACCGUAAGGAGGGCGAUUACCAGCUGGUGGACCUAUGACUGGGGUGAAGUCGUAACAAGGUAG
This 1441-nucleotide ribosomal RNA is filed under the name uncultured Bordetella sp. RNAcentral describes it as "partial 16S-23S ribosomal RNA intergenic spacer". It matches the Rfam family "Bacterial small subunit ribosomal RNA". Lineage: Bacteria; Pseudomonadati; Pseudomonadota; Betaproteobacteria; Burkholderiales; Alcaligenaceae. The record is from RNAcentral.